AACAUCAUCUUCUUGCAACAGUACCAAA
This 28-nucleotide non-coding RNA is filed under the name Bombyx mori (domestic silkworm). Lineage: Eukaryota; Metazoa; Arthropoda; Insecta; Lepidoptera; Bombycidae. The record is from RNAcentral.